RNAcentral lists this ribosomal RNA (1450 nucleotides) under Salmonella enterica subsp. enterica serovar Abony. RNAcentral describes it as "partial 23S ribosomal RNA". It matches the Rfam family "Bacterial large subunit ribosomal RNA", at positions 711 to 2141 of the family's 2925-position model. The record is from RNAcentral. Lineage: Bacteria; Pseudomonadati; Pseudomonadota; Gammaproteobacteria; Enterobacterales; Enterobacteriaceae.
AGACCCGAAACCCGGUGAUCUAGCCAUGGGCAGGUUGAAGGUUGGGUAACACUAACUGGAGGACCGAACCGACUAAUGUUGAAAAAUUAGCGGAUGACCUGUGGCUGGGGGUGAAAGGCCAAUCAAACCGGGAGAUAGCUGGUUCUCCCCGAAAGCUAUUUAGGUAGCGCCUCGUGAAUUCAUCUCCGGGGGUAGAGCACUGUUUCGGCUAGGGGGCCAUCCCGGCUUACCAACCCGAUGCAAACUGCGAAUACCGGAGAAUGUUAUCACGGGAGACACACGGCGGGUGCUAACGUCCGUCGUGAAGAGGGAAACAACCCAGACCGCCAGCUAAGGUCCCAAAGUCAUGGUUAAGUGGGAAACGAUGUGGGAAGGCCCAGACAGCCAGGAUGUUGGCUUAGAAGCAGCCAUCAUUUAAAGAAAGCGUAAUAGCUCACUGGUCGAGUCGGCCUGCGCGGAAGAUGUAACGGGGCUAAACCAUGCACCGAAGCUGCGGCAGCGACACUCAGGUGUUGUUGGGUAGGGGAGCGUUCUGUAAGCCUGUGAAGGUGUGUCGUGAGGCAUGCUGGAGGUAUCAGAAGUGCGAAUGCUGACAUAAGUAACGAUAAAGCGGGUGAAAAGCCCGCUCGCCGGAAGACCAAGGGUUCCUGUCCAACGUUAAUCGGGGCAGGGUGAGUCGACCCCUAAGGCGAGGCCGAAAGGCGUAGUCGAUGGGAAACGGGUUAAUAUUCCCGUACUUGGUGUUACUGCGAAGGGGGGACGGAGAAGGCUAUGUUGGCCGGGCGACGGUUGUCCCGGUUUAAGCGUGUAGGUGUGUGUUCCAGGUAAAUCCGGUUCACUUUAACACUGAGGCGUGACGACGAGGCACUACGGUGCUGAAGCAACAAAUGCCCUGCUUCCAGGAAAAGCCUCUAAGCAUCAGGUAACAUCAAAUCGUACCCCAAACCGACACAGGUGGUCAGGUAGAGAAUACCAAGGCGCUUGAGAGAACUCGGGUGAAGGAACUAGGCAAAAUGGUGCCGUAACUUCGGGAGAAGGCACGCUGACAUGUAGGUGAAGUGAUUUACUCAUGGAGCUGAAGUCAGUCGAAGAUACCAGCUGGCUGCAACUGUUUAUUAAAAACACAGCACUGUGCAAACACGAAAGUGGACGUAUACGGUGUGACGCCUGCCCGGUGCCGGAAGGUUAAUUGAUGGGGUCAGCGCAAGCGAAGCUCCUGAUCGAAGCCCCGGUAAACGGCGGCCGUAACUAUAACGGUCCUAAGGUAGCGAAAUUCCUUGUCGGGUAAGUUCCGACCUGCACGAAUGGCGUAAUGAUGGCCAGGCUGUCUCCACCCGAGACUCAGUGAAAUUGAACUCGCUGUGAAGAUGCAGUGUACCCGCGGCAAGACGGAAAGACCCCGUGAACCUUUACUAUAGCUUGACACUGAACAUUGAGCCUUGAUGUGUAG